AUGACCAUGCCCUCUGAAUUCCAUUCCCAGCCCCUGAGCACAAUCCUACUCCUGCUCGUCCUCCUUUCAACAGCAUCUCACAUGAUCCUGGAGGCUGUUGCUUCUGAGCAAGAUGAGCAGCAGCCAAUCACACUUCCGGGUUGCCCUGACAAGUGCGGCAAUAUAAGCAUUCCCUACCCAUUCGGCAUGAAGCCUGGCUGCUUCCGCGAGGGCUUCCAGGUCACCUGCAACGACUCCUUCUAUCCCCAUCGCGCCUACCUUGCCUACGACGGAGUAUUCCAGCGGAUUAAUGAGAUUUACUUCAGGGCGCAGAAAGGGUUGUGCCAGCGUAAUCGUGUUUGGAAUAGAACACGGGAAGAUACGGCCUUGGAGCUCAUCGAUAUAUCAGUUGCAAAGGGUGAGGCGCGCGCAUACGCCGCAAUCUCAUCUCGCUGCAGCGCAAACCAUACCGACUCCUUAAGCAAAUCUCUACGGAUGCGGUUGGGAGAAAAGAUGAGCCCGUUUGUCGUGUCGGUGACACGCAAUGUUCUCAUCGGCGUAGGCUGGAGAGUCCAGCCUAAGAUGAAUAGCUACUUGUGGUCAGCGUUGGCGUCAGACGCGGUGUCGGCGCAUGGAUAUUCAUCGAAUGAACUCACUAUUUCCUGCCUUUCAUACCUCAUGCGCAUGCCGCAGUUCCUCAAGUUCGCGACCAACGGGUCGUGCUCGGGGCGGGGCUGCUGUCGGGCUGCCUUGCCCGAAGCGGUUGCACUCACCAGGUUUGCAUUGUGGAUCAGUUUCGAUGAACCAAACACCUUGUUUGUGACCAAUCCAUGCUCCUACGCCAUGGUGGUGGAGAGCACAUGGUAUAACUUCACCACGCCGGACAUGUACGGUUACGAGGAGAUACCCAAGAAAUUCCCAAGGGGCGUCCCCUUGGUAAUCGAUUUCUCCAUCAGGAAUGGUUCAUGUCCAGAGAAAGGCCAGCAUCCACCUCCGGACUAUGCUUGUGUCAGUGGCAACAGCUCAUGUUCAAACGCGACCAGUGGCCUGGGUUAUGUCUGCAAGUGUUGGGACCAUUACGAUGGGAACCCUUACAUCGCCAAUGGAUGCCAAGACAUUGACGAGUGUAAGCUUCGCGAUUUAUAUCCUUGCUCCAGUGACGGGAUCUGCAAAAACACGUUGGGAGGAUAUGCAUGUCCAUGUAAAUCCGGAAUGAAAGGCGAUGGCGUAAAAGGAACCUGCACACAUAUUUUCCCCCAAGCAGCACGGACGAUUUUGGGUGCAACAAGUGGUAUUUUUUUGGUGGCAGUCUUGUCAUUCCUUAUUUUCCUUCGCAAAGAGAAAAGGAAAAUGAAAGAGUUUUAUGAGAAGAACGGUGGGCGUACAUUGGAGAAGGCAAAAUUCAUAAAACUAUUCGAAAAGGAGAAGCUCAAGUCAAUUUUGAAGAGUAGCAAUUUUAUUGGAAAAGGUGGCUUCGGUGAAGUUUACAAGGGCCUUCUUGAUAAUGAACAAGUCGCUGUUAAGAAACCUAUUACCGGUAGUGUGCUAGAGAAUGAACAAUUUGCAAAUGAAGUCAUCAUUCAAUCUCAAAUCAUCCACAAGAACAUCGUUAGGCUUGUGGGUUGUUGCCUAGAAGUUGAUGCCCCGAUUCUAGUCUAUGAGUUUCUCUGCAAUGGUAGCCUCGAUGACAUUCUUCAUGACAGCAGGAAGGUGCCUCUGAACUUGGGUGUGCGUUUAAGUAUUGCCGCAGAAUCAGCUGAUGGUCUGGUUUAUAUGCACUCAAAAACCAGUACCAAGAUCCUACAUGGUGAUGUUAAACCAGCAAAUAUACUUUUGGAUGAUAAGUUUGUGCCAAAGAUCUCGGACUUCGGCAUAUCAAGGUUGAUUGCGAGAGACAUACAACAUACUGGAUCUAUCAUUGGUGACAUGAGUUAUAUGGACCCAAUAUAUCUGCAAACAGGGCUACUAACAGAAAAAAGUGAUGUCUACAGUUUUGGAGUUGUCAUCUUGGAGCUUAUUAGUAGGAAGAAAGCCACACAUUCUGACGGCGGUAGCUUAGUAAACAAUUUCCUUGAAGCUUACAAGAAAGAGAAGAAAGCAACUCCAUUAUUUGACGAGGAAAUUGCAGUAACAGAAGACUUGGAGAUUCUUGAUAGUUUGGCCUGUAUCGCUGUGGAAUGUCUUAACCUUGAUGUGGAUCAAAGACCAUGGAUGACAGACGUAGCAGAGCGUCUUAUCAUACUGGAUCGAUCCCGUAAGUCACAAUUUACACUGCAUGUUCCAGUUUGA
RNAcentral lists this ribosomal RNA (2268 nucleotides) under Triticum aestivum (bread wheat). RNAcentral describes it as "partial small subunit ribosomal RNA". The record is from RNAcentral. Lineage: Eukaryota; Viridiplantae; Streptophyta; Magnoliopsida; Poales; Poaceae.